UUCUCCAAACUUCUAACGCCGCCUCUCUCAUGAAGUCUCUGAAAAUUAAAAUUGAGAGAAAACAAAACUUCUCUAGUGUCAUUUUGUAAGCUACCACGCCAACUAAUUUUUGAUGAGAUUGGAUGAAGAGACAGAGAGAGAUAUCUUUGGUGGACUACGCUUCAUCCUGAGACGACGACAUAUCAGAGCAGAAAGAUGAACAGUCACGAAACCCUAACGAACAACCACAAAUUUCUACCCACC
Molecule: long non-coding RNA, 243 nt
Filed under: Citrus sinensis (sweet orange)
Lineage: Eukaryota; Viridiplantae; Streptophyta; Magnoliopsida; Sapindales; Rutaceae
Description: long non-coding RNA (CSIN_LNC002555)
Source: RNAcentral